This is a non-coding RNA of Nelumbo nucifera (sacred lotus), 102 nucleotides long. The record is from Rfam. Lineage: Eukaryota; Viridiplantae; Streptophyta; Magnoliopsida; Proteales; Nelumbonaceae.
GUGAAACUGAGAUGUUGGAACGGCUCAAUCAAAUCAAAACUCCUAAGAAUUGAAUUAGGUGCUUUCAUUUGAUUGAGCCGUGCCAAUAUCAUGUUAACUCUA